CUCGUAAGUAAACUGAAGUGGCGAAGGGCAUUGACAGGUUGGCUCGGUCCAUUUUAAAAUUCAAAAUUCACACUCUAAAACGAUCUCAUUUCUCAGAAUAAUCCUUUUCAAAGCCCCUCCACUUCUCCAACUUCAUCGAAUCCCUUCAUUUCUUCAAUCUGAACAUAAAUUUUGUCUUCCUAUCGCCUUGGAUUUCCAUACUUUGUCAAGGGGAGAGCUCCAAGUCCUUUGUAAGACGAGUAAGAUUCCGGCUAAUAUCACCAAUGUCGCCAUGACCGACGCUCUUACAGCUUCAAUCCUUAAUUUAGAUAACAAAGUUAGAAGAAAGGAAGUUCUGGGGAGUAUGUGUGACCAGAGGGCUAGGAUGCUUCAGGAUCAAAUUAGUGUCAUUGUCAACCAUGCCUUGCUUUGGCCAUUCUCAUUUCCACUCUCCACUACUCCAAAAAUGUCUCAGCAAAUGAACAGAAAUUACCUUGAUGUCUCAAUUUAAGAGAGGCCGUGAAGUUUUCUUCUUCGUAUUGCUUAAAAAUGCUCGCCGUGCUCAAAAUCGUUGGAUGGUGCUUGAAAACCCAUUAAAGUGUUUUUUCUUCUUCAUGACAAGAAUCUGGAAGGUAGCUGCAGCACAACAUGCUAAUUUAGAUGUGAAAUGUUUCUUUGAAGAUAAAAAGUAAAUGAAGCUUCCAAAGAUGAUGGAUGGAGAUUUCUACUGAGAAAAUAUAUAAAAAUUUGUCGUUGUAAAAGACUUCACCAGCUUUCCCUCUCAGUUACCGUCAGUUUAGAGCUCUUUCAUUCCCUAUUCCUAAAUCCAGUGGAAAGGAAUAUAGAUUGAAACCAUUGAGCGAUGCCUUUCAUGAGCAGGGAACCUUCCUGCUUGGACCAGGAUUUCGAGUUUCAAGCGCAAGGCGAUUCUAGUCUUGUACAGAUUCCAGGAUAGAUGAAGCGUUGAUCGGCAGUUGACCGCAACGGUAAUAUUUGGAUAUAAAAAGCCAUAAAAGGGGGGUUGGGAGUUGGAACCAAAUUAUGCUGAACAAAUUAAGCAAACACGACCAUGGGGAUAUUCAACCUAACCAGCUUUCCCUCAGAGAUGAGUGUUGAUCGACAAUUGACCGCAACGGUAAUAGUUGGAUAUAAAAAGCCAUAGAAGGGGGUAAGUCUUCGCUUAUGCUUCUAUUAGGAGGGUUUUCAUUAUUUUUGUCCUCUUGAAUUCAACAUCAUCAGGUUAGUAAAUAUUUUUCUCCUCUUCAAUUAAUUACUGAUGUCUUAUCGUCAUCUCUGCUUUAGUUAUUUUAAUCUUUGUUGUUAUAGUUUUCAUGUCAACUUCCUUUCCAACUUUUUUCUCUAAUUAAUUUUUUUACCUUUUCUUCUUUGAUUAAUUAGAGUGGGAAGUUGGAACCAAAUUAUGUCGAACAAAUUAAGAAAACAUGAUCAUGGUAAGGAACCUCUAAUUGUGAAUUGGGAAGUGAAUUAACAAAUCCUACCCUUUGUUACCUUCAUGUCCCUUGCUUUAGGGACGUACAACCGAUUACCCUUUGUUACCAAUAAGUCCUCCUCGACCCAAAACUGUCUUGUUUUACCCGUUUUAGCUAACUUCAUGGCAUUCUGAGUGGCAGGAUCUUUCUGCAAGAACUCUCUCAAGAUAUCUUUAACUGACCCUGUCAAUCUUACUCGUUUGGAGGUAAGCUAACAUGCACAUGGCCGCAUGUUCAUUUUUCCUGACUCAGGGCAUCAGCAGCCCGACUGCUUGACCCUUUCUUAUUUUCUAACUUAAAAUCAAACUCGACCAGAAAUUCCUGCCAUCUUGCUUGCUUUAAAGUCAACUUUGGCUGAGUAAAGAAGUGGCAGGUCGCACUGUUUACCGUCUUCACCAUAAAUGACGAACCUGGUAGGUAUUGUCUCUAAGCCCUCAAGCAAUGUACUACUGCGGGCAUUUCUUUUUUAGACACGGUAUAUCUCUUCUCAGCUGGAUUCAACUUCAACUUUCAUAUGCGAUCGGGUGUCGAUUAUGUAGGAGAACACCACCCAACGCAUAAUCAGACGCAUUUUUCUCGACCUCGAAAGGUUUGGUCACAUCAGCAAUUCCCAGAACUGGCCCCUUCAUCAUGGCUUGCUUCAGGCCAUCAAAGGCGACUUGACGCUCGAGUGUCCAGCCCCAUCGAACAUCCUUUUUCAGUAACUUAGUCAGCGAACUUGCUCGUUUGGAGAAUCCAUCCAUAAUAUCGCUUAUAAUAAUUUGCUCACCCGAGGAAGGGGCAUAAUUUCGAGACUGAUUUUGGUAUUGCCCAAUCAUGUAUCGCAACAAUCUUUCCUUCUUCCAUCCAAUUCGACCACACUCUAUCACAUGGCCCAAGAAGUUUAUCCGCUCUUGCGUAAAGGAACAUUUUUCUCUCUUGACCCAGUUGGUUCUCCUUCAAUUUCUGAAAAUCCUUUUAAAGAUGGUCCCUGUGUUCCUCCAUGGUUGAGUUAUAGACCAUUCUAUCAUUCAGGUAGACCACUAUAUAGUUGUCAAGAUAUUCAUGGAAGACCUAUUUCAUCAAUUUUCAAAAGGUUGCAGAGGCAUUGGUAAGACCAAAUGGCAUUACGAGGAACUCAAACACUACAUAUCUGGUGACAUAGGUUGUCUUAGGCUCAUCUCCCUAUGAAAUUUUUACUUGGUAAUAUCUCGAUCGCAGGUCUAACAUUGAAUAAUACUUUGCUCCAUGUAAGCGGUUAAACAAGUUAGUGAUUAUGGAAAGUGGAUAUUUGUUGCAAACCUGAGUUUGUUCAAGGCAUGAUAGUCGAUACACAAUCGUAAAUUUCCAUCCUUCUUCUGGAAAAGAAUUGGGCCCUAUACGGAGCUUUUGCAGGCUUAAUAAACCAUGCAUUCAAUAACUCAUCUAAUUGUUUUCAAAGUUCAGCUAACUUUGAAGGCGCUAUACAAUAAGCAUUCUUCAUAGGCGAUUUUGCCUCUGACAAUAACUCGAUCUCAUGAUCAAUCAUCUUUCGACGUAGCAAAGACUUGGGCAAACUGUAGGGCAUCACGUCACGAUACUUCUCUAGGACACACAGAAUGUCCUUUAGGGACUGUCUCCUCCGAGUUCUUCAACAAAUCAAGUGGGAUGACCAUAAACGAUGGUUUGUCUUGAGCGAGACCCUUCUUUAAUUGCAUGAUCGAAAUCAUUUUCAAUCCGUUAGGCUGACGAAUGUUGGUCUGUAAAACAGUGGGAGCAGAUCUAAAACAUUUGGCUAAAGGCAUUGGGAUCACCUGAUGUUCGAGUAGAAACUCCAUUCCUAGUACCACAUCAAAGUCAUCCAUUUUUACCACCACAAAAUCUACGAGGCCGUUCCAUCUCCCCAACCUUAUCACCAUUCGUUUCACUAGUUUGACGAUAGAUAGGGCCAAAGAAUUCACGGCUUUAAUUCUCCCUAUAUCUUUUUGUCAAUGAAGAUUUAAUCUUCAAGCUUCUGCCUUUAUUAUAAAAUUGUGGAAUGCACCAGAAUCAACCAUAGUACUCUUGGUCAGUUUCUGGUUGAUCCAGGUGUCAACAUACAUUAAGCCCAUUUCCAUUGGUGUACUUAUCUCCAAUACCUUCUUUUGAAGAGACAACAAGAAUUUUAAGGCCCCCAUUCGAGGGUUAUCACCUUCCUCUGUCUAGUCCAUUCCCUCUUGGUUUGUUCCAGUUUAUUGUCUGAAUCUGAGGCUAAAAAGGCUUGGAAGAAAUUGAAGCCAGUUUUGUUCGAACAUACUCUAGUCAAGUGUAGUCCCUUACAUGUGAAACAACGAAGAGGACGAUUAGACACAUUUUGGUUAUUUGGUCCUCACUAGGUGUUUUCUGUAUUCGGUUGGUAGGGCUUGCGAUCUCCAUUAGGACGUUUGUCUCCCCCAGCAGUUCUGGGAGAACUCAGGCGGUUGUUCUUAUUUCUCCUAGACGAAGAGCUUAGAUGACGUCUCACAUCCCGAGAGUCAUUAUACACGUCAAACAACCGUUCGACCGCAGCGUACGCUGAUGAGAGGUCUUGAACCCUUUGUUCAUAUAAUUUUGUCUUUGCCCAUGGUUUCAGCCUUUUGACGAAAUUGAAAACUUUGUCUUUCUCUAACAUAUCGCGUAUGUCAAACAUCAGUCCUGCAAACUAUCUUAUAUACUCAACUAUACUGUCGGUGUGUUUCAGUUUACACAAUUUUUGCUGAGCGAAGAUUUCAACAUUCUCAGGGAAGAAUUGCAAGUGGAGUUCUUUCUUCAAAGCAUCCUAAUUGUCUAUUGUGCAACGUCUUUCUUGAAUGUCAACAUACUUGGAUCUCUACCAUAACUUGGCGUCCUUAGAUAGAUGCAUCGUCACCAAGAUGUCUUAUGAUUCUUGGCGUGGUUGUCCGUGGUGAUACAAGAUGUCUUACGAUUGCUUCUUGCUUGGUCGAAGGGUUUGGUUGGAAUUGGUGAAAUGUUGUGCCCGUACGUUGGGUGGGGAGUGAGAGCGGGAUGUUGAGUUGAUGAACUCAGAUGGGCUUGCUAGGAUAAGCUUGCACCUCGUUGUGGGCGUAGUCUGGGUGUGCUUGUCUGUGGUGAUACAAAAUGUCUUGCGAUUGCUUCUUGCUUGGUGGAAGGGUUUGGUUGGAAUUGAUGGAAUGUCGGGACCUUACGUUGGGCGGGGAAUGAGAGUGGGAUGUUAAGUUAACGUACUCGGAAGAGCUUGCUUGGAUAAUGCUUGCACUUCAUUGUGGGCGUAUUCUCGGUGUGCUUGUCCCUUGCGAUACAAGAUGUCUUACGAUUGCUUUCUACUUGGUGGAAGGGUUUGGCCGAAAUUGACGGGCUGUCGGGCCCCUAUGUCGGGCGGGGAGUGAGAGCGGGAUGUCGAUUUAAUGUAUUCAGGUGGGCUUGUUUGGAUAAUGGUUGCGCACCUUAUUGUGUGUGUAUUCUUGACCUUGUUCCUCACGAUAUAAGAUGUCUUACUAUUGCUUCUUGCUUGGUUGAAGGUUUAGUCAAAAUUGAUGGAAUGCUGUGCCCCUUUGUCGGGUGGGGAGUGAGAGUAAGAUGUCGAGUUGAUGUACUCUGAUGGGCUUGCCUGGAUAUUGCUUGCACCUCGUUGUGGGAGUAGUCGGGUGUGCUUGUCCGUGGCGAUACAAAAUGUCUUGCGAUUGCUUCUUGCUUGGUGAAAGGGUUUGGUCAAAAUUGAUGGAAUGAUGGGACCUUACGUUAGGUAGGGAGAGAGUGGGAUGUUGAGUUGAUGUACUCGGAAGGGCUUGCUUGGAUAAUGCUUGCACCUCGUUAUGGGCAUAUUCUUUGCUUGCUUGUCCGUGGCGAUACAAGAUAUCUUACGAUUGCUUCCUGCUUGGUGGAAGGGUUUCAUCGAAAUUGACGGGAUGCCAGGCCUCUACGCCGGGCAGGGAGUGAGAGCGAGACAUCGAGUUGAUGAACUCAUAUGGGCUUGCUUGGAUAAUGCUUGCACCUCGUCGUGGGCAUAUUCUUUGCUUGCUUGUCCGUGGCAAUACAAGAUAUCUUACGAUUGCUUCCUGCUUGGUGGAAGGGUUUCAUUGAAAUUGACGGGAUGCCAGGCCUCUACGUCGGGCGGGGAGUGAGAGCGAGAUAUCGAGUUGAUGAACUCAUAUGGGCUUGCUUGGAAAAUUCUUGCACCUCGUUAUGGGUGUAUUCUCGGCGUGCUUGUUCGUUGCAAUAAAAGAUGUCUUGCGAUUGCUUUUUCCUUGGUGGAAGUGUUUAGUAAGAAUUGACGGAAUGCCGGGCCCAUAUGUUGGGCAGGGAAUGAGAGCGGGAUGUUGAGUUGAUGAACUCGGAUGGGUUUGCUUGGAUAAUGCUUGCCUCUUGUUGUGGGCGUAGUCUGUGUGUGCUUGUCCGUGGCGAUACAAGAGAUCUUGCGAUUGCUUUUUUCUUGGUGGAAGCAUUUGACGGAAUGCUGGGCCCCUCCUUCAGGCAGGGAGUGAGAGUGGGAUAUCGUGUUGAUGAACACGGAUGGGCUUGCUUGGAUAAUGCUUGCACCAAGUUGUGGGCGUAGUUUGGGUGUGGUUGUUCGUGGCGAUUCAAGAUGUCUUGCGAUUGCUUCUUGCUUGGUGGAAGGGUUUGGUUUGAAUUGAUGGAAUGCCAUGACCCUACGUUGGACGGAGAGUAAGAGCGGGAUGUUGAGUUGAUGGACUCGGAUGGGCUUGCUCGAAUAAUGCUUACUCCUCGAUGUGGGCGUAUUCUCGACCUGCUUGUUUGUGGCGAUAAAAGAGAUCUUUUUAUUGCUUCUUGUUUGGUGGAAGGGUUUGAUUCGAAUCGACAGAAUGCUGGACCCUUACGACAGGAAGGGAGUGAGCGGGAUGUCGAGUUGAUGUACUCGGAUUGGCUUGCUUGGAUAAUGCUUGCACCUCGUUGUGGGCAUAGUCUAGGUGUACUUAUCCAUGGCGAUACAUGAUGUCUUGUGAUUGCUUUUUGCUUGGUGGAAGGGUUAGGUUGGAAUUGAUUGAAUGUCGGGCCCCUUUGUCGGAAAUGGAGUGAGCGUGGGAUGUCAAGUUGAUGUACUCGGAUGGCCUUGCUUGGAUAAUGCUUGCUUACCUCGUUGUGGGCGUAUUCUCGCAUCCUUGUUUGUGGCGAUACCAGAGAUCUUGCGAUUGCUUCUUGCUUGGAGGAAUGGUUUGACCCAAAUUAACAGAAUGCUGGGCCCCUACAUUAGGCGGGUUGUGAGCAGGAUGUCGAGUUGAUGUACUCGGAUGGGUUUGCUUGGAUAAUGCUUGCACCUCGUUGUGGUAGUAUUCUCGAUGUGCUUGUCCGUGGCGAUAUAAGAUGUGUUACGAUUGCUUCUUGCUUGGUGGAAGGGUUUGGUCGAAAUUGACGAGAUACCGGGCCCCUAUGUCGGGCGGGGAGUGAGAGUGGGAUGUCGAGUUGAUGUACUCGGAUGAGAUUGUUUGGAUAAUGCUUGCACCUCGUUGUGAGAGUAAUUUGAAAGUGCUUGUUCGUACAAUACUAGUCUUGUGAUUGCUUCUUGCUUGGUGGAAGGGUUUGGUUGGAAUGGAUGGAAUACCGGACCCCUACAUCGGGUGGGGAGUGAGAGCGGGAUGUCGAUUUGAUAAACUCGGAUGGGCUUGCUUGGAUAAUGCUUGCAUCUCGUUGUGGGCGUAUUCUCAGCGUGCUUGUCCGUGGCGAUAGAAGAUGUCUUGCAAUUGCUUCUUGGUUGGUGGAAGGGUUUGGUUGGAGUUGAUGGAAUGUAGGGCCCCUACAUCGGGCGGGGAGUGAGUGGGAUGUUGAGUUGAUGUACUCGGAUGAGAUUGCUUGGAUAAUGCUUGCACCUCGUUGUGAGAGUAAUUUGAAAGUGCUUGUUCGUACAAUACUAGUCUUGUGAUUGCUUCUUGCUUGGUGGAAGGGUUUGGUUUUAAUUGAUGGAAUGCCGGGCCCCUACGUCGGGCGGGGAGUGAGGUCGAGAUGUCGAGUUGAUGAACUAGGAUGGCCUUGCUUUGAUAAUGCUUGUACCUAAUUGUGGCCGUAUUCUCGACAUUCUUGCCGUCCUACGAUUGCUUUUUAGUUGGUGGAACGGUUUGGUUUGAAUUGACGGAAUGCUGGGCCCCUACAUUGGGCGGGGAGUGAGAGUGAGAUUUCGAGUUGAUGCACUUGGAAGGGCUUGCUUGGAUAAUGCUUGCACCUCGUUGUGGGCGUAUUCUCGGUGUGCUUGUUCGUGUCGAUACAAGAUAUCUUACUAUUGCGACCAUCUUGGUGGAAGGGUUUGUCGGAAUUGACGAGUUGUCAGGUCCGUAUGUUGGGGUGGGAGUGAGAGUAGGAUUUCGAGUUAAUGUAAACGGAUGGGUUUUUUUGGAUAAUGGUUGCGCACUUCGUUGUAGGCAUAUUCUUGACGUUCUUGUCUGUUGUAAUAUAAGACGUCUUACGAUUGCUUCUUGCUUUGUUCAAGGUUUGGUCAGAAUUGACGGAAUACUGUACCCCUACAUCUGGUGGGGAGUGAGAGUGGGAUGUCAAGUUAAUGUACUCGGAUGGGCUUGCUUGGAUAUUGCUUGCACCUCGUUGUGGGAGUAGUCGGGUGUGCUUGUUCGUGGCGAUACAAAAUGUCUUGCAAUUGCUUUUUGCUUGGUGAAAGGGUUUGGUCUGAAUUGAUGGAAUGCCGGGACCCUGUGUCAGGCGGGAAGUGAGAGUGGGAUGUUGAGUUGAUGUACUCGGAAGGGCUUGCUUGGAUAAUGCUUGGACCUCGUUGUGGGCAUAUUCUCGGCUUGCUUGUCCGUGGCGAUAUAAGAUAUCUUACCAUUGCUUCCUACUUGGUGGAAGGGUUUUGUCAGAAUUGACGGGAUGCCAGGCCCCUUUGUCAGGCAGAGAGUGAGAGCGGGAUGUCGAGUUGAUGAACUCAGAUGGGCUUGCUUGGAUAAUGCUUCCACCUCGUGGUGAGCGUGUUCUCGGCGUACUUGUCCGUGGCGAUACAAGAUGUCUUGCGAUUGAUUCUUGCUUGGUGGUAGGGUUUGGUUGGAAUUGAUGGAAUUCUGGUCCCCUUCGUCAGGAGGAGAGUGAGAGCAUGAUGUCGAGUUGAUGUACUCGGAUAGGCUUGCUUGGAUAAUGCUUGCACCUCGUUAUGGCUGUAUUCUCGGCGUCCUUGUCCAUGGAGAUACAAGAUGUCUUGCAAUUGCUUCUUGUUUGGUGGAAGGGUUUGGUUGGAAUGGAUGGAGUAUCGGACCCCUACAUCGGGUGGGGAGUGAGAGCGGGAUGUCGAUUUGAUGAACUUGGAUGGGCUUGCUUGGAUAAUGCUUGCAUCUCGUUGUGAACGUAUUCUCAGCGUGCUUGUCCGUGGUGAUAAAAGAUGUCUUGGAAUUGCUUCUUGGUUGGUGGAAGGGUUUGGUUGGAGUUGAUGGAAUGUAGGGCCCGUACAUCGGGCGGGGAGUGAGUGGGAUGUCGAGUUGAUGUACUUGGACGGGCGUGCUUGGAUAAUUCUUGAACUACGUUGUGAGCAUAGUCUAGGCGUGCUUGUCCUUGGUGAUACGAAAUGUCUUGUUGAUUGCUUCUUGCUUGGUGGAACGAUUUGGUCGGUUCCCCUCAUGCCCCUACGUUGAGUGGGGAUAUAGAGUGGGAUGUGCGGUUCUGGUGGGGGAUCAGCUUGCUUGGAUAAUGCUUGCACAUCAUUGCAACAUGUUCCCGGUGUGCUUACCUCUGUCAAAGAUUGAACGUGCUGCGAUCGAUCCCCGUUUGGGGAAGGGCUCGCCCAAUAACAAUGAAAGUGUUUCGGUUGCAAUGUUCACGUGGGUUACACAAUGCUCAGGUUCAGUGUGCACGACUUUUUAUGCUCGGGCUCGUGUGAUGACUCUGUGGCACUGCUUGCUUGCUUUAAUGCAGACAGCCAAGCGUUGCAUACGGCGCGUGAGUGGUGAUUCGAUAGUUUUUGUUGGCAGGCUUGUUGCUCAGCAUCGAACUGUCACCUCGACUCCUCCUCAUUGACGUGCCAUAAACAAAGUUUGAGUUUAAGCUUUAGCAAUUGAUCGGUUCUUGCAUCGGUACCUCACAUGAUGGAAGCGUUGCAUCUUGUUUGGCCCCUUUCUGUCGGCAUCCGUCUUCGGGUGGACGAUGAACCCUAUAGCCCGCGUCUCGUUUCACCUAGACAUCUUUAGUUGUCAUUGUGACCUACAUCAUCGAUGCACGCUCUCUCGGAUGCAAUGCAUUUAGUGGCAUGAUAUGCUCGGAAAGUCCCUUAAAAUGUGUUGCCUUUGCUCAUUGCUCGAAUGAAUGAUGCUGGCUCCUUGCGUUGCUCCAACGCCAUACGCUGCUAGCAUGCAUGUGGGCUGCAACAUCGUGUUGGAAUUCUACCCGGUUGAUCCUGCCAGUAGUCAUAUGCUUGUCUCAAAGAUUAAGCCAUGCAUGUGUAAGUAUGAACUAAUUCAGACUGUGAAAAUGCCAAUGACUCAUAAAUCAGUUAUAGUUUGUUUAAUGGUAUCUGCUACUCGAAUAAUCGUAGUAAUUCUAGAGCUAAUACGUGUAACAAACCCCAACUUCUGGAAGGGAUUCAUUUAUUAAAUAAAAGGUCGACGCGGGCUUUGCCUGUUGCUAUGAUGAUUCAUGAUAACUCAACGGUUCGCACGAUGCAUCAUUCAAAUUUCUGCCCUAUCAACAUUUGAUGGUAGGAUAGUGGCCUACUAUGGUGGUGACAGAUGAUGGAGAAUUAGGGUUCGAUUUCAAAGAGGGAGCUUGAGAAUCGGCUACCACAUCCAAGGAAGGCUGCAGGCACGCAAAUUACCAAUCCUAACACGGAGAGGUAGUGACAAUAAAUAACAAUGCCGGGCUCUUCGAGUCUAGUAAUUGGAAUGAGUACAAUCUAAAGCCCUUAACGAGAUCAAUUGGAGGGCAAGUUUGGUGCCAGCAGUCGCAGUAAUUCCAACUCCAAUAGUGUAUCGUAAGCAAAGAUGUCUUGUUGGGUCCUUUCUAAGGUCUUUAGGAAGAUUAUUGAGAAUGUUAGCAACAUCAACACCUCUAGUCUUCCAUUAUGGGUAGACCUAACAUUAAGAGGUUCCAGCCAACACCGCCGGCGCAUAUAUUGAGAAAUAACAUCCUCCAACCGUUGCCUUAUUGAGUCAAUUCUCCAACCACCACUGUCCAACUUUGGAACGUCCCAACCGUUGCUGUUCGAUUUUUUUCCUUGCUCCCUCAUCCAUCUAGUUCUCUUUUUAUUCCUAUAGUACUUUUUGCUUGUUUUUUCAUUUUAUCGCUUAUGUUUUAUAAUGUUGGAAUUUGACAUAUAAAUGCUAAAGUCUAUCAAACAAGCCACUGCUAACCUUUCAUUUUAUUUCUCCAUCUAAUUUGCGAACUUUUUUUUUUUUGGGAAGAUUUGGAUUAUGCUUGCAAAGGAUUUGAUUCAAAAAUUGUCUUUAGAGAGAUAUAUAGUGUUAGAAAUAUAGGAUACAACUACACAUAUUUAAUUCAAAUUCUACCACCGCUAGUACUCAAGCUUAAUGUAAUCAAAUAGGCAUAGUGAGCAUGACUAAAUCAUGUGGAUGUAGAAGCACACAUUUACACAUCUGGUUACUUGAGCAAAGCGUCACAUAUUUUGAUUUGGUCGUGUGGUGCCUUGGGCUUGAGUCGCUUAACACUGAGUUGAUAAAAGAUGCCCUUGUACGUAGUGUAAACUCCAAUAGUGUGAGACUAUAUUGAGUAGAUGAUUGGAUUUGAGUUUAUCGAGUCUGCCAUCCACGCCUGCAGGGAACUAGGCUGGACGAGUUAAGUAAAGUGUCUUGUUUCAGUUUCAUAGGGCUAACACUAAAUGAGCUGAAAUUCUUAGACACUGGGUGAUUCUUUCUUCUCCCCUCAUUUUUCUUUAGGGGUACUGUCAUACUUUUUGUCGACCAUGUGGUACAAUUGUAUCUUGAGUAGUUUGAUGUAAUUCCAGCGGUAAAGGUUUCAUAUGUGUUUACGGUUCUUGUAUGUGUUCUUGGAUGCUUUCGAUUGAUAACCAUGUUGUAGAAAAAAUCCUCCUACCCAUGAGAAUGUCAAGACAUAUUUGAAUUUAUGUUCAAGUAGUAGGUUUGAGCACCUUUUUGUUUCGGUUUGGCUUGGGCAACUUCUUGGCCUGGUUUCUUAGCGUCUUCUUAAUAUUGAUAAAUGAAGGCAUGUCGUUUUACAAUAAUAAAAAGGAGUUAUAGGAAAGCUGAUUAGCAUGUAGAAUAAGUAGUCACUAUUGCCAUUAUGGAAAAAUAAUUAGUGCAUCAGUUCCUCUAUUUUAUUCCUGUUUUCUGUGAAUAAUUCUGUAAUUGAUAUCCUUUGAAUAAAUUUUAAUGUUGAGUUUUGGUCGGGCAGAAGUUAAAUGUUUGUCUUGCCUUUGUAAGAAGGUCUGAAUUAUGAGGUUGUCGCUCCAUGCAUGAUGGCCACUGAUCUAUGUUUGCUUUGACCUUUUGGAGGCCUUGAAUCAACUAGAAGAGGAGCUGAAAGGUAACAUCAAGAAACUGAGUUCUUUCGACAAGUAUAAGCAAGAAGUCCUUCUCGAGCAUCUUAAUUGGUCUCCUAUGCACAAAGAUGUCAAUUUCUGGCGAGAAAACAUUACAAGCUUUGAAGAGAAUGACUUGAAGAUAUUGAAGGUCCUAAUCACAAUUAUGGGUAGUUCCAGUGAUCCAAGGGCUUUGGCAGUUGCUUGUUUGGAUCUUUCUUAGUUCAUUUUCCUUGUUUAAUUCAAUCCAAGGGUUUAUCAAAUAGGAGGACUGGUGCAACUAGUGUUAACUCUGAGAGUUUGCGGUCACAUACUGUUUUUACCUGUGUUGUUGAACCCCGAUCCAAGGUGUUUGAAGAAGUGGGAUUUCUCUCUUUCUCUUUCAAUUUUACAUAAGGGAAGGGAUAAAAGAAGAUAGAACGAUUAACAAGUAGAAGAAGAUGAAGAUAAAGGUUAGGGAAAGAAGAAGGGACACAAAGAAAUUUAAAGGAAAUGCUUCAAUAAUGGGCUUGAUGGUUACAGCAGGAAAUAGGUAUUUUUUUUAUUUCUUUUUGUGUAACCGACUUGGUGAGCAUAUCAAAGCAUUGCCAGAGGUAUGGAUCUUGACAACUUCGAUUUCUUUUUUUCUUAAUUUCUUCUCUAAUGAAGGGAUACCUAAUAUCUAUGUGUUUUAUUAUGUUGUGAAAUUGGUAAUUCUUAGAUAUAUUAUGCUCUAACUAUCAUAAUAUAUUUUGAUUUUUACUUGUUUGAUUCUGAAAUCAUUCAAUAACCAUUUUUCUCUCAACGUUUUGAAAUCCCCCCAUCACAUAUGACUUAUUUGUCAAGUAAAGAGAUUACAGGAAUAUUGAUUGAGAUAUUAGGAAGCUUCUAUUUUUCUAUCGUGCUUCCAAUUUAGUAUUGACUAAAAAAUUUGCAUGGAGGAUAUUGUGAGCUCUAUUUGAACAAAAAUGUAAUUGAUCACUUCUGCUAGCUUAUGUUGUUGAGUUUUCUUUCUUAGCUUGAACGUUAUUUCAAAAUUUAAAGUUUUAAAACAUGAAUAACAAAAGAAAACGCUAACAAGUAAGAAAAAAAUAGUACACACAUACAUAUCUAUGUGAAUAUAUCAAUCUAAAUUCAUGUAGUUUUGCUUUCAAAUUUUCAAGAAUGAACUGACUCAAUUGAAUUCCAAUUCCAUGAUUGAAUUUGAUUUCUGAAAAAUAUAGGCUAGAAAAGGAGGGGAGCUAGCAUGAAAUGGAAGAACCAUAACAAGAGGAGCACUGGAUUCAUUGAGAAAGUGGCGAGAGACUCCAUGGAUCCCAUUUGUGAAACUCUUGCAAUCGAUAUUAAUGUCGAUCUUGACAAGCAAUGUUAAUCUAUUUAAGUUGAGAGGUUUGGAGUACUUCAUGAAGAUUAAGUUUAAUAUAGUCCUUAAUUUAAUGUUAUUCUUGUGGAAAGUUCCGACAAAAAAGUAAAUGUUGGUUGAAUUUGAGAUUGAUAUGGAAAGAACUGAAUUUUUUACCUGAAAAUUUUGAUGAAAUUGCAUUUCUCUUUCGUGGGAGUCAGAUUCUUCUUUUGAAUCUUUGAAAUUUUCUUGAUUCAUGUUUCUGUAAUGUUGAGUGGGUGUGAAACUAAGUUAGGGGCUGAAAUCUUGGAGGAAUGUUAGGAUGAGAAUUUAGGAAUUAAUUCCUCUUUCUUAGAAGAAUCUGAAUCUAUACAAAGGUCUUUUUCUUUGUUUUCAAUCAUUUGAGAUAAUCUUGAUGGUUCUUUAUGUAAACUCGAGAUUCUCUUUGGAUUUUUUUAAAAUAUAAAAGAAAUAAAAGAAAAUGAAAAUUAAUUAUAUAAUAUUUUUAUAUAAUUAAAGGUCUUAUUAAAAAAAAGAGAGGGAGAAAAGAAAGGAUAAAAAGGGAAGAAAGAGGAAAAGAGAAAAGGCAACUCCUUACCAUUUUCAUCCAAAUUUGAAAGCUUUCUUUUGAGAGAAGAAUUGGAGAGAACCUGAGGAAGAAGAAGAAGAUUUCUUAGUUCUAAGAUUGAGGAAGAAGGGGAAAAACUCAAAGGAAGUUUCAAUCAUGGCAGAUUUUGAUCCACUCUGCACACUUUUUUUUUAUUCGGUUUGAUCUUCUCAAGAAGAACUAAGAGGUGAGGUUUGAAUUUCCUAAAAUUUAAUUCAUUUUUCAACAAUUCUCGUGAAGGAUGUUUGAGUCAAUUUUGUUGUUAAUUGGGUGAUAUUUGACAGAGAAGGCAGAGAAGGUGUUUUCAAUACGAAAUCAGAUAUCCUCUAGUUUUUUUUAUUUAUUUUUCCAAUGUGUAUAUGUUGAGUUAAAAUUGCUAAUUGAUAUGGUUGGAAAGAUUAUUCAAUUUCCUAUAACUUUUAGGAAGAUGUUGAGAGUCAAUUAUGACUAGAAUUGUGUUAAAUUAUAGGGACAAGUUGAAGGUCUGUAGAGUGCGCGAUUUUGGAGUGGUUUUAAUUUGUGGUGUUUCUGUACUUUUCAACUGGGCAUUUGGGUUACAUAUCUUCAAGUAAAUUAUAGAGGACACCAAAAAUGAAGAUUUGGACAUAAAGAACACUCAUUUUGGUUAAGUAUUGAGGGAGUUAUGGUCAUUUGAAGUUUGUGUUAGAAAUCUGAAAAAUGCAGAGAUUUGUUCAAAUAGGAUUUUAUUUAUUAAGCUUUGAUUUCGUGAGUGUCAUCUUUAGUGUGACAUUUAAGUCUAUCUUUAGAAAAUCAGAAUAUUUAGGGUUCUAAUACUCGGUUUGGUUGUUGACAGGCCGAGAAGAAUUAAACUGAGCGUACAGACCAAUGAUCUAGCUCAAGACAGUGAGUGACAAAACCAGUUUUGAAAAUAUUUUCUCUAAUUAUUAUUUAUGAUUAACCACUCUACACGUUUAUUUACGAAGAUAUGAAAAUCAUUUGAAUUCCAUGACUAUUUUCAAGUAUGAGUUUUGAGACUAGAUUUCUUAAUGAAAAUUUAUGUUAGCACGUGAAUAUCGAAUGUUUGGAAAAUAUUUGAACCACAAUGUUUCAGAGUUAGCAAGUUUGUUUUAAGAACUACAGUUUUUCACGAACAAUCUAAGUAAGCUUGAGCUUUACGAAAGUUAAAGAUAGUAGGCAUGUUUUAAUAUUUUCGUAUGAUUCUGAUGUUUUCAUUAAGUACAUAAUUGAGAUGUUGAGCCCAAGGCUAUAUGGUACCAUGUGCACACAAGUUAGAUUCUGUUGUUGACGUUGAGUGUACUCUGUAACAACGAUGUUGUCGUGAGUGCUGGACGGGCCCCGCUAUAACAAAGACGAUGGGAAUGCUAGGCAGACCCCAUUACAUUGUAGAGCUUAUAAACGUUGGUUGUAUUGGGUCUGCCCUAUACAACGUAGAUUUGUCAUGUUAGUUAAAAUGUUUUGAUAUACUUGAUAUGUCUUGCUAUAUUUCAAUGACGUACAUGCUGAGUAUUUGAGAAGGUUAUUCUUACGAUUAUUCGUUUAUAUUUACGACUUGUAUAAAUAGAUUUAUAUGUGUAAAGCUUUCACGUGCUCUUAUCUUUAAAUUUAUAGUUUUAAACGAAGUCACUCACUGAGCUUUAUAGCUUACCCUUCCAAAAUGUUUUACCCAUUUUCCAAGUAGAGAUCAAUUUUUUGGUGCAUGAUAGACUGUCUUAGUCUGUUGAAGCUCCAAUAUCGAUUGCUAGUACAUGGUUAGAGUUGUACGUAGAGUCUGUUGUAUUAUGUUGUAAAUUUCUUUGUACGAUAUAGAUGCUCUACAGUUUGUGUAAGCUCUAGGAGUCGCAGUUGUUUAAACCUUUGUUGGUUAUGUUUUGGUUAAGGUGUCUCUAGGUUUAUUUGCAAAAUCAGUUAUUUCCAGGCUACACUUCAUGUAUGUAUAUGAUUAGUCUAGGUUUCGAUGUGUUGUGUUACAUGUAUAAUAGUUUAUAUACUAGAUUAGCAAGUUUAUCAUGUUCAAGAGUUCACCCUAGAAGAAAUAUGGCCUUUAAUGUCGGUUGUAAAAAAUGGAAACGGAUCUUUAAUGUCGCUUUUUAAAAUGCAGAUGUUUAAUGUCGGUUUUAAACCAACAUCAAAGAUGAAGGAUUAAUGUCGGUUUUAAACCGAUAUUAAAGAUCUGUUUUUUUCAAACCGACAUUAUAGAUAUAUAACAUAAUAAUUUUAAGUUUUUUGGAGUUUCAUAUAUAAAAGUUAUAUUUAAGGUUUAAAACCCCAAAUCACCAUCUCUACUGCCGCUUUCCAUUUCUCUUGCCUUUUCCAUUUCCCUUUCCCUUCCCCUUUCCUUCAUCUGUCGCUUUCCAUUUCUCUUGCCUUUUCCAUUUCCCUUUCCCUUCCCCUUUCCUUCAUCUUCUUCAGUCGAAGGAAGACCCAGCGCCGACACUUCUUCUUGCCAUCGAACAUCCGUUCGCCGGUCGCCGUGUCUCCCAACUGCGCUCAAUCGCCGCCUCGACCCUCCAUCUGUCCAGAGCUAGCAUCAUUGUGAUGCUCUCUGCUUACAUUGCUUACUUGGUCUUUCAACUCUGGACUCAUCGACAACUAUUUGAAGCUGAGGUUAUAGCUUGCAAUUAAAGGGUGAUGGUGGAUCCAUUGUAGCAGGUGAACAAGUUUUAUUUUGGAUCUAUAAUUAAGUGGAGCUUCCAUUGAUCUUGCUACAGGAAACUUUUUUACCCAACAGUAAUAAAGUGAAAUUUUUGCUAUCUUGUUCAAGUUAAGUUUGUUUGCUAUUUUAUUGGAUUGCAAUUGGUUGGAUGAAUCUAUUUUGAUGUAGGGAUAGUUACAAAUAAAGUGAUCAACUCAAUGCAAAAGAAUUUGCAAUUAUAACAAAAUUUAGAUCUAGCUAGCCCUUCUUAGAAUCUAUUAGUAUUAGACCAUAUCCGUAAUAAGAGUUAUGUACUGUUCCUUGAUUGAGUUCUAUAAUGUUCGUUGAUUGAGUUCUAUAAUGUUCGCAAGUCCACUAGUUCUUCGAUCUAGCAACGUUCAUUCAACGAUAAUUUUUUGUUUUGCUCGAGUGAUUUUACCUAUAUGUUUUGGGAUUGUAGUAGAUUGGAAGUUGUGUUCUAAUAGGUAGGUACAGGUAUUAUAUGUUAGAUUUCGAUUUGGGAUGUAAAUUACAUAUGUAGAAAUAUGAUCAAUCACAUUAUUUUUUAGUAUUUUUUCUGAAACUAAUUAUGAUUAGGAAUUUGGAAGAAUUGAACCUUAAGACAGAAUGAUAUUAAUUUCUAUGAUUAGCGAGGAUAAUUAUAGUAGUUUGAUUUCAGCUUUGGUUGAUGGGGACAAGGGAAGAGGGCACACCUUCUAAAACUCUGAAACCUCCCUCUUCAUCCUAGGUGAUAUAAUUGACCUUCCUUCCUUUUGCCUAUUUUCAUUCCCAAGUUGUUGAUAAAUUGAUAUUUUUUUACUUGUUACGCAUAAGAAAUAGCUCCAACACCUUCAUAUCCUGAUUGGUCAAGCUCAGUGCAGGUCUAUCUAUAUGGUUUUUUGAUUUCAUACUAAUUGUUUUUUGGAUUCAUAAACACCUAGAAUAGUAUAGUUCAAACACUUAGAAUAGUAACGAAGAUGUCGAUGAAUACUACUGGCUUAAAGUUUAGCCUCUUCUGUAACUGUAGGCUUAUUAUAGUGUUGGUGCUACUCCACGUCCAUUCUUUGCAUCUACUAUUGCUUCUCCAACUCCCCACCCUUACAUCUGGGGAGGUCAGGAAAUACUGCUUCAGCUGGCGGUAGGAAGAGUGGAAAGGUGGCUUCAAGUUCCGGAAAUGAUGGUGCUUCUCAAAGGGCCUGUUAAUGAGCCUGGUUCUUCGAGUAGGGAACCUAAUGCUAAAGCUUAAACUCAUAACGACCUAGUUUAAGGUAAAAGGAUUGGACAUGAUACAUAACAUAACUGAGACUUGAGAUUAUUCAUAUUAUCUUUGCAUUUAGUUUUAACUUUUAAGAAUAUUUUCUUUUGGGAGAGUAUGACUUCUCUUUACAUUUACUUUUAGGAUGGAUGCAUUUAUUUCACAGCAAUGAGCAGUGGUUUAUUAAUUGAUGAUGAUGUUAGAUAUUGAUUCUGCCCGUUAUUUAGCACACUUUGUCUGUAUUAUUUUUCCUCCCUUAAUUUUGUUUAAUUUAGUUCCAAACCUAAUGAUUUUGAAGGCGAUUUUAGUGAGGGAAUGAAAAGUGAAGUUUUACCACUUACAGUUUCAUUGUUGCACUAUUAUGAUAAAGUAUAUAUAUAUUGAUAUUUCUCACACAACUUAUCAUUCUUGGCUAUGUUUUCUCCCCCUUUCUCAUUCCCAGUUGUUGAUAACCUUGGCUUUUUCCUUUUCAUUUUCAUGUUUUGUAGCUAUUUACCUGAGGCAUACUGGAAAUAUUUUUCAUGUAACAGCCAACAGGAUGCCAUAUUUAUUAUUUAUUCAGAAAGUUCAUUUGUUGUUUAUAGUUUGUUGCCAUAUUUUUCAGUCAGAUUAUGGCAAGGAGGAAAUACCGCUGGCUUUGGUGUGAUGUUUUUUCUUUUAAAGAUUUUUUAAAAAAAUCUUUGUGAUAUGUGGUUUGCUUGCUUUGAACGACCUUUUUUUUCUUAAAUAAGUUGAUUUCUGUUUUUUACAUUUUUGUUUUGUUUGUGAUAUGGGCACUUAGUUACGUAGGUUUCGGUUGCGAGGACUUGCAAUUGUGUAUUUGUAUAUUUUUUUGCUUUAGUAGAGGCGGCUUGACAUUGAGUUUAAGGAAUUUGCUGAGGAACAGAGACAGUGAUGAACAGAGAAAGAGAAUGAUUGAAGUUAUAUCGGGUUGAAAGCUGAGCGAUUGUGUAGAUAGCCAGGCGAUCGUUGAAGGUUGAAGAUUGAAGAUUGAGAAGACGUUUAGAAUUUUUCUUAUUUACGUCUUGUAUUAGGAUCUUUUUUCAUGUACUGUUGUAGAA
Long non-coding RNA from Cucumis melo (muskmelon), 18717 nucleotides. RefSeq lists it as uncharacterized. The transcript is spliced from 18 exons. The record is from RefSeq and is a predicted model, not a curated record. Lineage: Eukaryota; Viridiplantae; Streptophyta; Magnoliopsida; Cucurbitales; Cucurbitaceae.